GAUGAAGAACGCAGCGAAAUGCGAUAAGUAGUGUGAAUUGCAGAAUUCAGUGAAUCAUCGAAUCUUUGAACGCACAUUGCGCCCCUUGGUAUCCCGAGGGGCAUGCCUGUUCGAGCGUCAUUUCACCACUCAAGCCUGGCUUGGUGUUGGGCGACGUCCCCUUUGGGGACGCGCCUCGAAACGCUCGGCGGCGUGGCACCGGCUUUAAGCGUAGCAGAAUCUUUCGCUUUGGAAGUCGGGGCCCCGUCUGCCGGAAGACCUACUCGCAAGGUUGACCUCGGAUCAGGCAGGGAUACCCGCUGAACUUUAGCAUAUCAAUAAGCGGAGGA
This 329-nucleotide unclassified non-coding RNA is filed under the name soil metagenome. Its description in RNAcentral is "partial contains 5.8S ribosomal RNA, internal transcribed spacer 2, and large subunit ribosomal RNA". The stretch from base 1 to 120 matches the Rfam family "5.8S ribosomal RNA", at positions 35 to 154 of the family's 154-position model. The record is from RNAcentral.